This 143-nucleotide non-coding RNA is filed under the name Anaerolineaceae bacterium. The record is from RNAcentral. Lineage: Bacteria; Bacillati; Chloroflexota; Anaerolineae; Anaerolineales; Anaerolineaceae.
ACCAGUACUUAGUAUUAAGGUGUGCUAACAUGUUUAUAUAUGGCACAUAAAGGGGGAAGUUCGGUCAAAAUCCGACGCUGUCCCGCAACGGUAAGAUUAAUUGUUAAUUAAGCCCGAGAACCCGCCUUAACUAUCGCUUGUAU